CAUCACGCCGAACUGUCUGCCGAUUGGUAAGCUCCGGUUUGGCGGGUGCUUCCUUCCGGAGGCUCGUUCCCUUCUUCAUUGAAGGGUUCGUUGGGUCCGGGUCUUUUACUUUGAGAAAAUUAGAGUGUUCAAAGCAGGCCUAUGCUCUGAAUAUGUUAGCAUGGAAUAAUAGAAUAGGACUUUGGAUCUAUUUUGUUGGUUUCUAGGACCGAAGUAAUGAUUAAUAGGGACAGUUGGGGGCAUUCAUAUUCCAUUGUCAGAGGCGAAAUUCUUGGAUUAACGGAAGAUGAACUUCUGCGAAAGCAUCUGCCAAGGAUGUUUUCAUUGAUCAAGAACGAAAGUUAGGGGAUCGAAGACGAUCAGAUUACCGUCGUAGUCUUAACCAUAAUCUAUGCCGACUAGGGAUGUGGAGGCGUUAACUUU
Molecule: ribosomal RNA, 423 nt
Filed under: uncultured eukaryote
Lineage: Eukaryota
Description: bacterial SSU rRNA
Rfam family: Eukaryotic small subunit ribosomal RNA
Source: RNAcentral